AAGUCUCUUUAUUCUUGUUUAUAAGUAAUGAAUAAUAGAUUUGAAAUAUUUAUUAUAUAGAUUUAAAGAAAUAAUCAUAGAAUACAUAAGUUAUUAAUAGUUAUUAGGUUACUAAUAAAUUUAAUUUUAAUACCUAAGGGAAACCUAUUAUAUAUAAAUUAUUAAAUAAUUUAUAUAUUUAUAUAUAUAUACUAAGUGAACUGAAACAUCUAAGUAACUUAAGGAAAAUAAAUCAACCGAGAUAUUAUAAGUAUUGGUGAGAGAAAAUAAUAUAGUCAAAUAAGUAUUAUGUAAUAUAAUUAUGUAAGAAUAUAGGACAAACUAGUUCUAAGACUAAAUACUAUUAAUAAACAAAAUAAGUACCGAAAGGGAAAGUAUGUAAGUGGUUAUUUUAUAAGUAAUCAUAGAUAUAAUUAUUAUAUUAAUGAUGUACCUUUUGUAUAAUGGGUCAGCAAGUAAUUAAUAUUAGCAAAAUAAUAUUAUAAAUAAUUUGAAAUAAUUUAACUUUUCUUAAUUGAUAAAGUUAUUAAAUAGUUAAUAUUAAUUGACCCGAAAGCAAAUGAUCUUACUAUGACCAGACGGUUAAACGGUCGAACAGGUUGAUGUUGCAAUAUCAUCUGAUGAGUUGUGGUAAGUAGUGAAAGACAAAUCUGAUUUGCAGAUAGCUGGUUUUCUACGAAAUAUAUGUUAGUAUAGCUUUUAUAUAAUAAUAAUUAUUAUAAUAUAUAUUAUAUAAUAUAUAUUAUAAAGAACGGUACAGCAACAAAUAUAUUUAGGGGAACUAUUGUAGUUUUAUCAAAAAUAUUUGAUCUCGGAAUGUUUAAUUAUAACUCAUUAUUCUUCUCCUUUAAAGGGAAUAAAAUAAAGAGAAAAAUAUAAAAAGUCAGAUUAUGUGCGAUAAGGUAAAUAAUCUAAAGGGAAACAGCCCAGAUUAAGAUAUAAGGUUCCUAAUUAAUAAUAAUAAUAAGUGAAAUAAAUAUUAAAAUAUUAUAAUACAAUCAGUUAAUGGGUUUGACAAUAACCAUAUUUUUAAUGAACAUGUAACAAUGCACUGAUCUAAUAAUUAUAAAUAAUAUUAAAAAUCAAAUAUAUUUCAUAUAUUUGUUAAUAAAUAAUAUACGGAUCUUAAAUAAAAAAAAAAAAUAAGAAUUAUUUAACCGAAUAUCUAAAUAUUAUUAUUAAAUAAUAAUAAUAAUAAUAUGGUAGUAGAACAUUUAAUGAAAAAAUAUAUUAAUUAUUAAUUAAUAUAUAAUUUUUAAAAAUAAAUAAAUCUUUUUUAAAGAUUAAAUAUUUAGAAAUAUAAAUAAUUAAAUAGAGAAUGCUGACAUGAGUAACGAAAAAAAGGUUAAUCCUUUUCACCUAAAACAUAAGGUUUUACUAUAAAAGUACGGCCCUUAAUUAAAUUAUAAAAAUAUAUUUAUGAUAGGAUAAUUCUAAAUAAAAAUAUAUAUCUUUUAUUAUAUAUAUUAUAUAUAUAAAACUAUAAAAGAUCAAGAAAUAUAUUUAAAGAAUACCGUAAUGUAUACCGACUCAGGUAUGUUAGUAGAGAAUAUGAAGGUGAAUUAGAUAAUUAAAGGGAAGGAACUCGGCAAAAAUAGCUCUAACGUUAGUCAAUAAAGAGAUUUAAAAACAAGGUUGUACAACUGUUUAAUAAAAACACCGCACUUUGCAUAAACGAUAAGUUAACGUAUAAGGUGUGAACUCUGCUCCAUGCUUAAUAUAUAAAUAAUAUUAUUUAACGAUAAUAUUAUUAAAUUUAAGUAAAUAGCAGCCUUAUUAUGAGGGUUCUAAGGUAGCGAAAUUCAUUGUCCAAUAAUUAUGGUCCUGCAUGAAUGACGUAAUGAUACAACAACUGUCUCCCCUUUAAGCUAAGUGAAAUUAAAAUCGUAGUGAAGAUGCUAUGUACCUAUAGUGUGACGGAAAGACCCUAUGCAGCUUUACUGUAAUUAGAUAGAUCGAAUUAUUGUAUAUUAUAUUCAGAAUAUUAAGUAAUUGAUUAAAUAAUAAAUGAGAUACUUAUUAUAAUAAUAUAAUAAUUCUAAUCUUAUAAUAUAUUUAAUAGAUAAUAAUUAUUCUUAAAUAAAUAUUAUAUAUUUAUAUAUAUAUUUAUAUAUAUUAUAUAUAAUAAUAAUAAUAAGAGACAAUCUCUAAUUGGUAGUUUUGAUGGGGCGUCAUUUUCAGCAAAAGUAUCUGAAUAAGUCCAUAUAUAUAUUAUAAUAUUAUUAAAAAUAAUAAAAUAUAUAUUAUAUAUAUUAAUUAUAAAUAGAAAUAUAUUAGUUUUUAAUAUAUUUUAGUAAUAGAUAAAAUUAUGUACAGUAAAAAAUUGUCUAGAAAACAAUAAUAAUAAUAUAAAAAUAUAUUAUAUAAUAAAAUGUAUUAAAUUAAUAUAAUGGUUUAACUGUGCAACAAUUGUAACACAAACAAGUGAAACAAGUACGUAAGUAUGGCAUAAUGAACAAAUAACACUGAUUGUAAUGGUUAUUGAUAACGAAUAAAAGUUACGCUAGGGAUAACAGGGUAAUAUAGCGAAAGAGUAGAUAUUGUAAGCUAUGUUUGCCACCUCGAUGUCGACUCUACCUAUCCUCUUGGUUGUAAAUGCUAAGAAGGGUUUGACUGUUCGUCAAUUAAAAGGUAACGUGAGUUGGGUUAAAUACGAUGUAAAUCAGUAUGGUUCCUAUCUACUAUAGGUAAUAUUAUCAACUUAAGUCUUAUUCUUAGUACGCAAGGAUCAGAAUGAAUUAAUCUAUGGUGCAUCUAUUGAUUAUUAUAUAAUAUAUAUAUAAAUUUAUUUAUAUAUAUAUUAUCUAUAUUAGUUUAUAUUUCAAUAUAUAUAUAUAAUCAUAGUAGAUAAGCUAAAUUAAUAAAUAAUAAGUUUCCCUCACCUUUUUAAGGUGGAGGAAGCUUAAAUAAGUAUUGAAAGCAUAUAAAAUACGAAGUUGUCUUAAGAUGAGAUAAUAAUCUAAUUAUUUUAUACUAAAAUAUAAUUAAUAAUUCAUUAUUAAUUUAUAGGUUUUUUAUAUAUUUAUAUAAAAAAAUACUAAUUUAUUAGUUAUCUAU
RNAcentral lists this ribosomal RNA (3057 nucleotides) under Torulaspora microellipsoides. Its description in RNAcentral is "large subunit ribosomal RNA". The stretch from base 60 to 2710 matches the Rfam family "Bacterial large subunit ribosomal RNA". The record is from RNAcentral. Lineage: Eukaryota; Fungi; Ascomycota; Saccharomycetes; Saccharomycetales; Saccharomycetaceae.